Molecule: ribosomal RNA, 253 nt
Filed under: uncultured bacterium
Lineage: Bacteria
Description: partial 16S ribosomal RNA
Rfam family: Bacterial small subunit ribosomal RNA
Source: RNAcentral
UACGAAGGGGGCUAGCGUUGUUCGGCCUAACUGGGCUUAAAGGGUGCGUGGGCGGGUCCGCCAGUCUGUGGUGAAAUCCUCCCGCUCAACGGGAGAACUGCCGUGGAUACUGCGGACCUCGAGGAAGAUAGGGGCGUGCGGAACAGUUGGUGGAGCGGUGAAAUGCGUUGAUAUCAACUGGAACUCCGGUGGCGAAGGCGGCACGCUGGGUCUUUUCUGACGCUGAGGCACGAAAGCUAGGGGAGCAAACGGG